UACGUAGGGGGCGAGCGUUGUCCGGAGUUACUGGGCGUAAAGCGCACGCAGGCGGUCUGCUAAGUUUGGAGUGACAGUUGGUGGCUUAACUGCCAAAGUACUUCGAAAACUGACAGACUUGAGGGCUUCAGAGGGACACGGAAUUCCGGGUGGAGUGGUGAAAUGCGCAGAUAUCGGGAAGAACACCUAUGGCGAAGGCAGCUCUCUGGGACGGUACUGACGCUGAGACGCGAAAGCGUGGGGAGCGAACAGG
Molecule: ribosomal RNA, 253 nt
Filed under: uncultured bacterium
Lineage: Bacteria
Description: partial 16S ribosomal RNA
Rfam family: Bacterial small subunit ribosomal RNA
Source: RNAcentral